UACAGAGACUGCAAGCGUUACUCGGAAUCACUGGGCGUAAAGGGAGCGCAGGCGGACCGAUGUGUCAGGUGUGAAACUCCGGAGCUCAACUCCGGGACUGCGCCUGAAACUGUCGGUCUAGGGACUCGGAGGGGCUAGUGGAAUUCCUGGUGGAGCAGUGAAAUGCGUAGAUAUCAGGAGGAACACCAACGGCGAAGGCAGCUAGCUGGACGAGAUCCGACGCUCAGGCUCGAAAGUAUGGGGAGCAAAAAGG
This 253-nucleotide ribosomal RNA is filed under the name uncultured bacterium. Its description in RNAcentral is "partial 16S ribosomal RNA". It matches the Rfam family "Bacterial small subunit ribosomal RNA", at positions 524 to 776 of the family's 1533-position model. The record is from RNAcentral.